CUUAUCGUUUUCGUCAAUGUCAAAAUUCAAACAUAAUAGAAUUGAAAUAGAUUUUGCACCAAGAAAAGAAUAAAUUCUUAUCGCGACAAACGACAAGACAAUCCGAAAAAUUUAUAAUUCAAUGAAUAUUUCAAAAUUAAAUCAUUGCUCUCAGAGACAUGAUCUCAGUCGCAAGUGUUAAGUAAAGUAAACAUUAACAAAUCCCAAUUUGUAUAUAUUCUGGAUUACUUUCCAAAAUGAGAAGGAAAAGUGUCCUCCCACUUGUUGGCCUCUUCAUUGUUCUUGGUGUCCAGCAUGUAAUCUCUGAAUCUCUUCUCCUAAUGGAUGAUCACGGGGAGAGUGGAUUCUCCAGUGACGAGAAAGAUUUGUGUGCCUUAUAUUGCCAUAGGUCUAUGAAACUCGGUGUAGCUUAUAUUAUUGAGCUGAAGGAAAAAAUAAAAACACUCGAAAAAAAUCAUUCAGAGAGUGAAAUUAGUCAGCUGAGCAAAGCAGUUGAGAAUUUGCAAAGUAAAAUUGAUCAACAGAAUAUACAAAUAGCUAAUAUUAACGAUUUUAUCACAAACUCAGUUAACAGGCAGAAAGAGGUGGAAGAGAAAGCCAAAUCUCAAACUGAGAUAGACAAUUUGAAGAAAAUAGUAGAGAACAAUUGAAAGAGAAUUUAGAAAAUGUUCAACGUCAAGCAGCUAAAGAUAAGGAAGAAAGCUUAGCUGAACAAAGAAUUAAAAAUAGAGAAAUAGAAAAUCUAGAAGAGAAAUUAGCUACCCAAAAAUCAGAUUUAGACAAAGCAAUUAAAGACCUCGAGUCGAAAAACAAGGAAUUUGAAGAAUAUCAGACUAAGGAAAAGAAUUCCAGCAACAAAAUUGGAGAAUUAAAUUCUGAAAUUUCAUCCUUACAGAAAAAGUUAGAAGAAUCUGAAACUCAGUUGACUGAUUCAAAUCAUUUACUUGAAAGAAAACUAAGCCAAACUAAGGAAUAUUUAAUCGAGUGUCAGAAGAGAAUACCAAAAAUUGGUUGCCAAGGCCUUUCUUCGGGAAUUCAUCAAAUUGAACUUCCGCGGAUUGCUCCGAUUUUUGCUCUCUGCGAGGGAGAUAUAGAGUUUGGUGGGUGGAUAGUCAUUCAUAAAAGAUUUGAUGGCAGCGUAGACUUUCAUAGAACUUGGACUGAGUAUCGUAAUGCGUUUGGAAAUAUGAAAGGAGAGUUCUUUCUUGGUCUGGAGAAUUUGCAUCGUAUUACCAAUUCCCACACCUAUGAACUUUAUGUGCAAUUGGGAUAUCACAAUGGAACUUUCCUAUUUGCUAGUUAUGAUAAUUUUAGAAUUGGCAACGAAACUACGAAAUAUAAGUUAGAGUCAUUGGGAGAGUUUAGAGGAACAGCUAAAAAUGUUAUGGAUUACAAUUUAAAUGCAUCAUUUUCCAGUUUUGAUCAAGAUAAUGAUCACUCGAUUGUUAAUUGUGCUCAAAUGUAUGGAGCCUGGUGGCAUAAACGUUGUAGCUCGAUCCGCCUCAACGCAAAAUACUUCAAUAGAGAAGUCGAUGAUGAUUCAAGUAUGAGCUGGUGGAACUGGAUUUCUCUCAAAUCUGUGCAGAUGCUUAUCCGACCAAAAUAAAGAUGGACUUCAUCUCAAAAUUAACGAAAAUCUGGCAAAACUCUGCAAUCAAAAAAAAAAACUUGUAUUUCAGCAACAAAACAAAUCAUUUUCAAACAUAACUUCUGAACGGACCCAAUCUUAAGGGGACAAUUUCCGUUUUCUGCUUUGACUUAUUGUUAGAUGACAUUCGCUGUCUGCCUAAAAAAAUGUUUACUGUAGUUCAAAUGCAAACAUAAUCUAAUUUUCUGCA
Drosophila willistoni is the source of this 1838-nucleotide RNA transcript. It is a transcript of the gene named fibrinogen-like protein A, with no coding region annotated. Lineage: Eukaryota; Metazoa; Arthropoda; Insecta; Diptera; Drosophilidae. The record is from RefSeq and is a predicted model, not a curated record. The transcript is spliced from 3 exons.